RNAcentral lists this ribosomal RNA (256 nucleotides) under uncultured bacterium. RNAcentral describes it as "partial 16S ribosomal RNA". It matches the Rfam family "Bacterial small subunit ribosomal RNA", at positions 521 to 776 of the family's 1533-position model. The record is from RNAcentral.
UAAGACGAGGGAUCCUAGCGUUGUUCGGAAUCAUUGGGCGUAAAGCGGGUGUAGGUGGCUAUCCAAGUCAGGUGUGAAAGCCCUGGGCUCAACCCAGGAAGUGCACUUGAUACUGUUUAGCUUGAAUGUGGGAGAGGAAAGUGGAAUACCUAGUGUAGUGGUGAAAUACGUAGAUAUUAGGUGGAACACCGGAGGCGAAGGCGGCUUUCUGGCCCAACAUUGACACUGAGACCCGAAAGCGUGGGGAUCAAACAGG